RNAcentral lists this ribosomal RNA (405 nucleotides) under uncultured Eubacteriales bacterium. RNAcentral describes it as "uncultured Clostridiales bacterium partial 16S ribosomal RNA". It matches the Rfam family "Bacterial small subunit ribosomal RNA", at positions 355 to 774 of the family's 1533-position model. Lineage: Bacteria; Bacillati; Bacillota; Clostridia; Eubacteriales. The record is from RNAcentral.
UGGGGAAUAUUGGGCAAUGGGGGAAACCCUGACCCAGCAACGCCGCGUGAGGGAAGAAGGUUUUCGGAUUGUAAACCUCUGUCCCAUGGGAAGAAAAAAAUGACGGUACCAUGGGAGGAAGCCCCGGCUAACUACGUGCCAGCAGCCGCGGUAAUACGUAGGGGGCGAGCGUUGUCCGGAAUUAUUGGGCGUAAAGGGUGCGUAGGCGGCCUAUUAGGUUAAAUGUGAAAACGCUGUGCUUAACAUGGCGACUGCAUUUAAAACGAAUGGGCUUGAGUGUGGGAGAGGUAAGUGGAAUUCCCGGUGUAGCGGUGAAAUGCGUAGAGAUCGGGAGGAACACCAGUGGCGAAGGCGACUUACUGGACCACAACUGACGCUGAGGCACGAAAGCGUGGGGAGCAAACA